RNAcentral lists this ribosomal RNA (471 nucleotides) under uncultured bacterium. RNAcentral describes it as "bacterial SSU rRNA". It matches the Rfam family "Bacterial small subunit ribosomal RNA", at positions 40 to 507 of the family's 1533-position model. The record is from RNAcentral.
CGGCAGGCUUAACACAUGCAAGUCGAGGGCAGCACGGGUAGCAAUACCUGGUGGCGACCGGCGCAAGGGUGCGUAACGCGUGAGCUACAUGCCCUAUACAGGGGGAUAAUCCAGGGAAACUUGGUCUAAUAUCCCAUAGUAUUUAGAGGAGGCAUCUUCUAUAAAUUAAAGCUUCGGUGGUAUAGGAUUGGCUCGCGUGACAUUAGCUAGAUGGUGAGGUAACGGCUCACCAUGGCAAUGAUGUCUAGGGGUUCUGAGAGGAAGGCCCCCCACACUGGGACUGAGACACGGCCCAGACUCCUACGGGAGGCAGCAGUGAGGAAUAUUGGACAAUGGAUGGAAAUCUGAUCCAGCCAUGCCGCGUGCAGGAAGACAGCCCUAUGGGUUGUAAACUGCUUUUAUAUGGGAGCAAUAAGGUCUACGUGUAGACUGAUGAGAGUACCAUAUGAAUAAGCAUCGGCUAACUCCGUG